CUUACAGCACCUUCAGGAUGUGGCCAGUACUUCACCACAACUAUGGGCACUAUCAAGGGCUGGAACCACGACGGUAUCUAUCUGUCUAACCAGAACUACGCUAUUUGUAUCAGGAAAGACGUCGACAGCUGUUCCACGACGUACCUGGACAACAGAGAUGUAAUAUUUCGGCCAUUCUGUGACGACACCUUUGAGUGGCCCUACAAUGUGAACGGUUUACCUGCCACGUCCUUCACCUGCAUCAGUACACCUGCCUUCAUACCCUCCGCGCCCCUCACUGUGUCACUUCAAGGCCCCAACUACCUCU
Molecule: long non-coding RNA, 307 nt
Organism: Homarus americanus (American lobster)
Lineage: Eukaryota; Metazoa; Arthropoda; Malacostraca; Decapoda; Nephropidae
Exons: 3
Source: RefSeq, a predicted model, not a curated record